This 352-nucleotide unclassified non-coding RNA is filed under the name Hevea brasiliensis (rubber tree). Lineage: Eukaryota; Viridiplantae; Streptophyta; Magnoliopsida; Malpighiales; Euphorbiaceae. The record is from RNAcentral.
CAGCUUUAAUGUGGUCAUGAGAAAGACAUUAAGGAAUAUUGAUAUUGCGGCUGCCCAUGGCAUCAAUGGCACUGACCAUUCUUCAUUUUGUUGGCUAACGGAUGGUACCUUGUAUUGAAAGAAAGCUGUAAUGGCAACUAUACCCAUUCCAAAUAGUGAUAAACCCCAUCUUUGUUCUUCAAGUUUCCAUGAAAUGGAGAAGCCAAUUGCACUAGACGAGAGGAGGAGGAGGAACAAGAGCGUAUGUGAAGGUGGGUUUUGGCUAAUGAUUACAUAUCGACGGUAGAUGAGAGCAUUGGCUACCAGGUAGAAAACCAGUAGUGUGCUAAUGGAGAUCAUUUCAAGAACUAUG